Molecule: ribosomal RNA, 222 nt
Filed under: Triticum aestivum (bread wheat)
Lineage: Eukaryota; Viridiplantae; Streptophyta; Magnoliopsida; Poales; Poaceae
Description: partial small subunit ribosomal RNA
Source: RNAcentral
AUGAAAAUCCUGAGAUGGAACUGCCGGGGACUCGGACAACCCCGUACAUUUCAAGAAUUGGUGUGCAUGGUGAGCACACACCGUCCAUCCAUAGUCUUUCUUUCGGAGACUAGACAGAAUAAGGAGAGAGUAAGCAACCUCAUGUGGCGUCUGGGCCUUAAGAACUGUAUGCUGCAUGAUGGUAUAGGAAAAGGAGCAGGAAUCGCUCUGUACUGGGAUGAA